AAGAGUUUGAUCCUGGCUCAGAUUGAACGCUGGCGGCAGGCUUAACACAUGCAAGUCGAGCGGGGGAAGGUAGCUUGCUACCGGACAAAAAAAAAAAACGGGUGAGUAAUGCUUAGGAAUCUGCCUAUUAGUGGGGGACAACAUCUCGAACCCGAUGCUAAUACCGCAUACGUCCUACGGGAGAAAGCAGGGGAUCUUCGGACCUUGCGCUAAUAGAUGAGCCUAAGUCGGAUUAGCUAGUUGGUGGGGUAAAGGCCUCCCACCGCGCCGAUCUGUAGCGGGUCUGAGAGGAUGAUCCGCCACACUGGGGGUGAGACACGGCCCAGACUCCUACGGGAGGCAGCAGUGGGGAAUAUUGGACAAUGG
Molecule: ribosomal RNA, 366 nt
Filed under: Acinetobacter baumannii
Lineage: Bacteria; Pseudomonadati; Pseudomonadota; Gammaproteobacteria; Moraxellales; Moraxellaceae
Description: partial 16S ribosomal RNA
Rfam family: Bacterial small subunit ribosomal RNA
Source: RNAcentral